Non-coding RNA from Chelonoidis abingdonii (Abingdon island giant tortoise), 559 nucleotides. The record is from RefSeq and is a predicted model, not a curated record. Lineage: Eukaryota; Metazoa; Chordata; Testudines; Testudinidae.
ACGGGGCUUGUUGGAGCCAUCUUCCCGAGGUCCGCGAGAGCGCUGUCUGACUGAGGUCGGGGCUCUUAUCGUACUGAGCGUGGCCCUGUUCUGCCAGGUGCUGCAGAGACCCCAAUUGAGAUCUGGGCCCUGUUCUGCCGGGCAUUGAAGAGACCCGAGGUGAGAUCAGACCCCACUGUUGUGCCAGGCUACAGAAUAACGUCCACAUUUCGCCUCAAAUCAUCCCCUCCUCCCAGGGGGAAGGAAAUGGCUGCAAUGGAGCUGGCUCAGGGGCCAGUGACCUUUGAGGAGGUGGCUGUGUAUUUCACCAGGGAAGAGGGGGCUCUGCUGGACCCCACUCAGAGAGCCCUCUACGGGGAUGUCAUGCAGGAGAACUAUGAGACGGUGACCUCGCUGGGUAAGGAGUCCUGUUCCCUGGGUUAUUAGAAGCUGUGGGGUCUCUAAAGAACCUGAGUAUUAAUAACUUUAUACCUUUAUUUGUCAUACAAGUUUUGACAAGUUUCCUUGCCCCCCCUUUUUUGCCUUAUCUCCCAUCCACUAGUGUCAUUUUUGGACAUAU